UACCCAGAUUACAUCUGGUGCAAAUGCACUCGGAGCCUGGGGCCAGACUGGUGCUAACACUGCAAACUUUGUCCAGAGCUCUCUCCAAUCUGAAGGCUUGCUGGGGGCACAAUGUCACCUUCACAUGCUGGGCCCUUUCAGAAAAGUGCCAGAUCGUGUCACUGGUGCUAUUUUUCAUGCUCUGGUACAAUGUGUAGCACCACGGGGGUCUCAGCUUUACCAAAAUCAAAAUCCCCUUUGUCAGCUAAUUGCAGGGGCAUUUGUUUUUUGCUCUCCUCCCACAGGAUUUGUUGGCCAUUUAACUGCAGGCCAUUUCUCCCAGCCCCCAACUCUUGGGUUGGCUCUGUCUGCUCAGAAAGCCUGUCUUCAUGAAGCCGCACUCAGGUGCCUCUGUGAGCUGUCUUAAAUCCUACUGCCAGCCCUUCAGGACUACGAGCCAGCGAAGAACUCUCCAAUGUCUGGCUCAUGACUCUGUUGUUUUUCUCCUCAUUCUUUUCCUCUGCUCUCCUCCUCCUUUUGUUGCUAUCUCAUUCCAUCUUUCUUUCUUUUCUUUUUUUUGAUCCUCUCCUUUUAUUCUUCCUUCUCACCAUCUCUGAGUUGUUACUUUUCUCCCAUAAUACUUCCCAAUUGCCUUUCUCUUUGCCCAUCUCUCCUUUGGUCUCAGUCUCUGCUCUUCUUAUUCCCUUUUAGCCUCGCUUUCCCAUCCUUUCUCCUCUCCCCACAUCUCUGAUCAUCUCCUCCCCCACACCCCUACACUGAUUUGUCUGUCCUAUAAGGGCUCAUGGCUCAUUCAGACAGCAAGUCCAUGCACUGGACUAACGACACAAAUACUUGGGGUCUCCGUUCACCUACUCAGCCCAGAAAGCAAAGCUGAGCAUGGGGCCCUGGCCUGGAGCUAGCUCCAGCCGGCCCCAGGAGCCAGCCUGCACCGCUGCCCUGGCAGCGAUGAUGCAUGUGCUGUGGGCCCUGCCAGCACCUGGGUGCCUCUGCCGGAACGCUGCUCCUAUGUGAGCCCACUCCCAGCACCAUCCGUGGCUCUGAGGACACUUCUUUUCAAUAAAGGCAGACUCUAGCCCCAACAAUUAUUCUGACAGCAAAACUCUUCCCAUUGAAGCCAUGCCAUCGCCUUGGUUUGGAGAGAGACAUUUUUUCCCAUCCAUAAGCUUUUUUUUCCCCCAUUUUCAUGUGAAGCCCCUUCUGCUUUUCAGUUGGUGUUUGCUCUGGUGAGAUUGAGUGGGCUCGCUGGUGAAAUGACAUCUCUUCUUCCCUGUUUUGGUCCUGCCUAAAUUCCUACAAAUAUAUUUAAGCCAAGGAUGCAGGCUAGUUUCUAAGUUUAUCAUAUUGUCACUUGUAGCUGGAAAAAAGAUUGGUUCCCUUGAAGCAUGUGGAGUACCUCCUGUGGCAACUGAUUUGCCGGGGGACUCCCAAAAGAAUUCUGUGGACAUAACUUUACUAUGUGUAUGUAUAGUAUACAUGGUGUGCAUACCAUGUGUACACAUCUGACACUGGGUAUGAAUGACUGUGGCUGGAAACCCACACACACACUGCAGUCUGUAAAUAUCCUUCCUCGCUGAAACCUGUGCUUUGGAAAUCAUUUCUUGUACAGCUGUGCAGUUUCUUGUAGCAGCUGAGGACAAACCUAAGACAGGUGGACAAUUUAGACAAAGAUCAUCUAAAAGUACAGUAUCUCCCUAGCAAUUCACGAGGACAGACAACCAAGUGGCAAGGUUGACUCCCAAUGGGAUGGCAAACUUUUCUUCUCUCCUUUUUGAAUUUGUGUUUCCUAAGUGUGUCUUAACUUCCGAGUGCACCAGGCUGUACCCGUUAGAUCCUUUCAAUAUAACAAUUCUGUACUUCUCUCUGACAGGAUGUUUCUCCAUCAAGCUAUAGUGCAGGAUGGGAGGGAGGGGGGAUACUCCUUGCCUGGGCUGGACUUUACAGAGACACUGCACAGCUUACACUCCUGUUAAGUGUAAAUAUUCAACACUUCCAUUCCAUUUGUGUAAAAAAUAAAGCACACACGAUUAUAAAAUCAAGAUGUAUAUUUCAUACUCAGUGUGUCCGUGCAUAUUUAUUGCAUUUUCAGUUGUCAGCAGUGGCCCCGUUGUAAAAAUGCCUGAUAGAGUGUUUAUAAACAUGUCGUGGUUUUAUUAUGAGAUAUAAAUAUUAAAACAUUUUGUACUUUAUAGCAAA
Carlito syrichta (Philippine tarsier) is the source of this 2193-nucleotide RNA transcript. RefSeq lists it as uncharacterized. The record is from RefSeq and is a predicted model, not a curated record. Lineage: Eukaryota; Metazoa; Chordata; Mammalia; Primates; Tarsiidae. The transcript has a single exon.